CUGCCCAUCUAUUUUCUGGACGGAGUUUGCACAAUACGUAUUUAUAUACAUACAUACAUAUGUAUAUAUGUAAUUUGUUAACAUAUUGGCAGUCUUCGGCCUGAAAAUGUUUGUACA
Molecule: microRNA precursor, 117 nt
Filed under: Drosophila pseudoobscura
Lineage: Eukaryota; Metazoa; Arthropoda; Insecta; Diptera; Drosophilidae
Description: microRNA dps-mir-2506 precursor
Source: miRBase by way of RNAcentral